AACGCGAAGAACCUUACCUGGGCUCGAAGUGUAGUGGACCGGGGUGGAAACAUCCCUUCCCCGCAAGGGGCUGCUAUAUAGGUGCUGCAUGGCUGUCGUCAGCUCGUGUCGUGAGAUGUUGGGUUAAGUCCCGCAACGAGCGCAACCCUUAUUGCCAGUUGCCAUCAUUUAGUUGGGCACUCUGGCGAAACUGCCCCGGAUAACGGGGAGGAAGGUGGGGAUGACGUCAAGUCCUCAUGGCCUUUAUGUCCAGGGCUACACACGUGCUACAAUGGUCGGUACAAACCGUCGCAAACCCGCGAGGGGGAGCUAAUCGGAAAAAGCCGACCUCAGUUCGGAUUGGAGUCUGCAACUCGACUCCAUGAAGCUGGAAUCGCUAGUAAUCGCGGAUCAGCACGCCGCGGUGAAUACGUUCCCGGGCCUUGUA
Molecule: ribosomal RNA, 427 nt
Filed under: uncultured Acidobacterium sp.
Lineage: Bacteria; Pseudomonadati; Acidobacteriota; Terriglobia; Terriglobales; Acidobacteriaceae
Description: bacterial SSU rRNA
Rfam family: Bacterial small subunit ribosomal RNA
Source: RNAcentral